AUUAAUUAUCUAUGUGGCACUCGAUAGUUUUAAUUCAAAAGUAAAUUAGAAAUAAUAUUUUUCAUUGGCCGAAAUCAAUAUUAAUCCUAUGUGGCGCUCUAAUAAUUCAGCAAAUAUACACUCAAAUGAGAAUGAGGCUAAUUAAUCCAACGGCACAAAAUUAAUCUGUUUAAUGAACUAAAAAAAACUCCGGAAAUCAAAUCCCACCCUCCACUCCUUUUCUCUCCUCCUCCAUCUCUCCAUCCUUUCUCUCUCCUCUUUCUUGGUAGCUUCUCCUGGUGGUUCGACUAGUGGUUCUGGUGAUUUAAUUGAUUUUUUUUAAUCCUACUACCGCCAUUUUUACGGAUGUAGUCUCUGCAAAUCUUCCAUUCACCUUCCUUCUCUCUUCUCAAUUUUUUGAAUUCAAAAUCUUCAAAUGAUGAUAAGUCUCAAUUGUUUACUCCGACAAACCCAAUGCCGACACCAGCCAUACAUGGUGCUCGACCCUAAUCCAACCCCACCACCACUACAACAUGGAUCUAAUUGGGGUUGAAUGCUUUAGGAGGAGAGAGAAAAUCAAGCUCAAUUAUGGAAGUUCGAAUGUUGGCUGGUUGGGCGGAAUAGCGGUGGGGUUGCGGUGGCUGGUUGGGGAGAGGAGAGGAGAGAGAAAACGAGGAAGAAGAGGGUUUUAGCUUCCAUUGUUGAGUGCUUCAGGAUGAGAGAGAAAACGAUUCUGGAUAUUUGGUAGUUGGAAGGAAGAAGAUCCUGGAUAUUUGGUAGUUGGAAGGAAGAAGAUCGGGGAAGCAGUAAAAUAAAAGCGUUUAAAAAAAAUAAAAGAAAUUAAAUUCAAUCUCGACCCUUGAUCUGGAUGGUGUAGAUUUCUUCUCAUUCUUCUCAUUAUAAAGUGUUUUCUCAUUUGAAUGUAAAUCUAUAUAUAUAUUAAAUUAUAUUAGAUUUAUCUGAA
This is a long non-coding RNA of Spinacia oleracea (spinach), 943 nucleotides long. RefSeq lists it as uncharacterized. Lineage: Eukaryota; Viridiplantae; Streptophyta; Magnoliopsida; Caryophyllales; Amaranthaceae. The record is from RefSeq and is a predicted model, not a curated record. The transcript is spliced from 2 exons.